GUAAGAAUCUUCCGCAAUGGGCGCAAGCCUGACGGAGCGACGCCGCGUGGACGAAGAAUGCCGAGAGGUUGUAAAGUCCUUUUAUAUGCGAAGAAUAAUACGGGUAGGAAAUGACCUGUAGAUGACGUUAGCUUAUGAAUAAGCUCCGGCCAAUUAC
Molecule: ribosomal RNA, 157 nt
Filed under: uncultured bacterium
Lineage: Bacteria
Description: partial 16S ribosomal RNA
Rfam family: Bacterial small subunit ribosomal RNA
Source: RNAcentral